Molecule: ribosomal RNA, 600 nt
Filed under: uncultured Alphaproteobacteria bacterium
Lineage: Bacteria; Pseudomonadati; Pseudomonadota; Alphaproteobacteria
Description: bacterial SSU rRNA
Rfam family: Bacterial small subunit ribosomal RNA
Source: RNAcentral
CAUGCAAGUCGAGGGAGAAGCCUUUCUUCGGAGAGGUGGAAACCGGCGCACGGGUGAGUAACGCGUGGGAAUCUGUCCUGGAGUGGGGGAUAACCGCUGGAAACGGCGGCUAAUACCGCAUACGCCCUACGGGGGAAAAAUUUAUUGCUCUGGGAUGAGCCCGCGUCCGAUUAGCGUGUUGGUGGGGUAAUGGCCCACCAAGGCUUCGAUCGGUAGCUGGUCUGAGAGGAUGAUCAGCCACACUGGGACUGAGACACGGCCCAGACUCCUACGGGAGGCAGCAGUGGGGAAUAUUGGACAAUGGGCGCAAGCCUGAUCCAGCCAUGCCGCGUGAGUGAAGAAGGCCUUAGGGUUGUAAAGCUCUUUCACCCGUGACGAUGAUGACGGUAGCGGGAGAAGAAGCCCCGGCUAACUCCGUGCCAGCAGCCGCGGUAAUACGGAGGGGGCGAGCGUUGUUCGGAAUUACUGGGCGUAAAGGGCGCGUAGGCGGGCUAGCAAGUCAGGGGUGAAAGUCCUGGGCUCAACCUGGGGACUGCCUUUGAAACUGUUAGUCUAGAGUCCGGGAGAGGAUGGCGGAAUUCCCAGUGUAGAGGUGAAAUU